Molecule: long non-coding RNA, 208 nt
Filed under: Carica papaya (papaya)
Lineage: Eukaryota; Viridiplantae; Streptophyta; Magnoliopsida; Brassicales; Caricaceae
Description: long non-coding RNA (CPAP_LNC015278)
Source: RNAcentral
CAGCAUGGGCGCCAAAACACAUAAGAUCUCCAUACCCCGUCCGAUAUGAGAGACCACGUUCCCGGUAGGGUUCCCUACGGACCCAGUCCGUCCACCAUCUCCCAGGAUAUCUAGUCAGACUGUCCACAUUAUCUAUUUAUCAAGUCACAUAACCUUUUUCUCAUUUUUCUUAGUCUCAAUUAUCCAAUCAUACACAAAUACGUAAACC